GACGAACGCUGGCGGCGUGCUUAACACAUGCAAGUCGAACGGAAAGGCCCUGCUUUUGUGGGGUGCUCGAGUGGCGAACGGGUGAGUAACACGUGAGUAACCUUCCCUUGACUUUGGGAUAACUUCAGGAAACUGGGGCUAAUACCGGAUAGGCGCUCCUGCUGCAUGGUGGGGGUUGGAAAGUUUCGGCGGUUGGGGAUGGACUCGCGGCUUAUCAGCUUGUUGGUGGGGUAGUGGCUUACCAAGGCUUUGACGGGUAGCCGGCCUGAGAGGGUGACCGGCAACAUUGGGACUGAGAUACGGCCCAGACUCCUAAGGGAGGCAGCAGUGGGGAAUAUUGAACAAUGGGCGGAAGCCUGAUGCAGCAACGCCGCGUGCGGGAUGACGGCCUUCGGGUUGUAAACCGCUUUCGCCUGUGACGAAGCGUGAGGGAAGGUAAUGGGUAAAGAAGCACAGGCUAAAUAAGUG
Molecule: ribosomal RNA, 468 nt
Filed under: uncultured bacterium
Lineage: Bacteria
Description: partial 16S ribosomal RNA
Rfam family: Bacterial small subunit ribosomal RNA
Source: RNAcentral